Sapajus apella (tufted capuchin) is the source of this 896-nucleotide long non-coding RNA. RefSeq lists it as uncharacterized. NCBI's taxonomy places the organism in Eukaryota, Metazoa, Chordata, Mammalia, Primates, Cebidae. The transcript has 2 exons. The record is from RefSeq and is a predicted model, not a curated record.
GCAUUUUCCCAUAAAGACAGAUACAGCAAAGCGUUAUCUUGAUACAUCACUAUUUGUCAUAAAACUAAUAAGCAGGUAAACUGGGGACUCAAUAUGGCAUACUGAUUAAAGGUAUGAGCUCUGGAAGUAGACCUAUGUGGACUUGAACCCUGCAAAAGGCACCUGAUAAUAACCUUAGGUGGUUUAUUUAACCUCUUUUAGUUUCAUUUUUCUUUUUCCUUUCUUUCUUCUUUUUUUUUUUUUUUAAGAGACUGGGUCUAUGUUGCUCAGGCUAGUAUUGAACUCCUUGCCUCAGGUGAUCCUGCCACCUCAGCCUCCUGAGUAGUUAUGAGUAAAGGCAUGAGCCUCCAUGCCCUAAGUCUCAUUUUUCUAAUCAGUAUAAUAGAGAUACAAAUGGCAUCUACUUCCCAAGGUUGUGAGAAUUAAAGCAUAUAAUAGAUUUCAAUUGCUUAGCAUGGUACUUGCCACAUAGUAAGUGCUCAAUAAAAUAUUACUAGUCACAGAAACAUCCUUCAGGUCUGAUAGCCAUCACCCAUAAAUAUCCACUGAAUCCUUAGGUUGAAAGGCAACUUAGAAAUCAUAUAGUAUUUUACCUAAUGCCAAAUCCCAAUGUCUUAUUUCAAACUGUGAGGUAAUCUUUUCUACUACGGGGUACAUAUUUUAAUAAGGUUAUCAUUACAAGCCUAAACCUGACUUCAGCUGAAGGGAUAAGUUAGGGUCCUCUGCUGAGCAGUACAGACUAGACCUCACUCUCUUUUCCAUAUGGUAGCCUAUCAGAUAGUGAACACAGCAAACACCAUUUGUUAGCUGCCACUCUCUCUUCCCUUUCCCAGUAUGCAGUCAAUCCUCAUCCCCGUAGGUUUUUUUUUUUUUUUUUUUUCUUCAAGAGAUGGGGU